This is a long non-coding RNA of Puma concolor (puma), 332 nucleotides long. RefSeq lists it as uncharacterized. The record is from RefSeq and is a predicted model, not a curated record. Lineage: Eukaryota; Metazoa; Chordata; Mammalia; Carnivora; Felidae.
GACGCAACCGAGCAGCGGUGACUAAGAGCUGGGAGUUGAGGUGAUGCGGGACCUGCCUUUCAAUCCGGCUGCCUACGUAAGCUGAGGAGAACGGGUGAGCAUGAUCACUGCUUCUGGUUGUGCAGACUGAGCUGUGCUCCAGGUGUCCAGACAAGGAGGAAACUCUUCAGCGGGAAGAAAACCAGCGCCAUGAGACAUUUCGAAGUCUUGAAUCUUACAGGAGCCACAGGCCAAGAUAUCAAAUUUUAAAAGAAGCUUUUUGACCUCAAUGAUCUGUGUUUUAUUUACUCCUCUUGACAAGAUUAUGAUACUUCCUAACUUUUUCAACAACA